This 119-nucleotide ribosomal RNA is filed under the name Scophthalmus maximus (turbot). Lineage: Eukaryota; Metazoa; Chordata; Actinopteri; Pleuronectiformes; Scophthalmidae. The record is from RNAcentral.
GCUUACGGCCACACCGCCUGGUUAAAGCCCGAUCUCGUUUGAUCUCGGAAGCUAAGAUAGGUUGUGCCUGUUUAGUACUUGGAUGGGAGACCGCCUGGGAAUACCAGGUGCUGUAACUU